This 77-nucleotide transfer RNA is filed under the name bacterium. RNAcentral's name for it is "tRNA-Met". It matches the Rfam family "tRNA". Rfam says of the family: Transfer RNA (tRNA) molecules are approximately 80 nucleotides in length. Their secondary structure includes four short double-helical elements and three loops (D, anti-codon, and T loops). The record is from RNAcentral. RNAcentral also lists the same sequence under 5 other names.
CGCGGGGUGGAGCAGUCUGGUAGCUCGUCGGGCUCAUAACCCGGAGGUCGACCGUUCGAAUCGGUCCCCCGCCACCA